RNAcentral lists this ribosomal RNA (531 nucleotides) under uncultured bacterium. RNAcentral describes it as "bacterial SSU rRNA". It matches the Rfam family "Bacterial small subunit ribosomal RNA", at positions 399 to 920 of the family's 1533-position model. The record is from RNAcentral.
CGGUGAGUGAAGAAGGCCUUCGGGUUGUAAAGCUCUUUCAGGUGGAAAGAAAUCGCAUCUUUUAAUACAGGGUGUGGAUGACGGUACCAUCAGAAGAAGCACCGGCUAACUACGUGCCAGCAGCCGCGGUAAUACGUAGGGUGCGAGCGUUAAUCGGAAUUACUGGGCGUAAAGCGUGCGCAGGCGGUUAUGUAAGACAGAUGUGAAAUCCCCGGGGCUCAACCUGGGAACUGCGUUUGUGACUGCAUAACUAGAGUACGGCAGAGGGAGGUGGAAUUCCGCGUGUAGCAGUGAAAUGCGUAGAGAUGCGGAGGAACACCGAUGGCGAAGGCAGCCUCCUGGGCCAGUACUGACGCUCAUGCACGAAAGCGUGGGGAGCAAACAGGAUUAGAUACCCUGGUAGUCCACGCCCUAAACGAUGUCAACUAGUUGUUCGGUGAGGAGACUCAUUGAGUAACGCAGCUAACGCGUGAAGUUGACCGCCUGGGGAGUACGGCCGCAAGGUUAAAACUCAAAGGAAUUGACGGGGAC